RNAcentral lists this non-coding RNA (685 nucleotides) under Selenops bursarius. Lineage: Eukaryota; Metazoa; Arthropoda; Arachnida; Araneae; Selenopidae. The record is from RNAcentral.
AAUAAAAUAAAAUUUCAAAAUAUGUUAAAUUAGCAUUAAGAUAUACAAAUAAUAUUAUCUUGAAAAAAUUAUAAUAUAUUCAAUAUAUUUAAAAUUACUAAUAAAAUAAUAGACUAUCAUAAGUGCCAGCAGUCGCGGUUAAACUUAAUAUUAAAUCCUAUUAAAAUCAAUUGAAUAAUUUCUUUUUAUCUCAUAAUUAAUUCUAAAUAAAAUUUUAUUAAUUAAAAAUAUAAACUCUUAAAUCAAUCUUAAUUUUAAACAUAAAAUAGGAUUAGAAACCCUAGUAUAAUAAACUCUAUAAGGUAGUAAUACUUCAAUAAAACCUAUUUAUUCCGGCGGCUUUUCAUCUUAUUAGAGGAACUUGUCUAUUAAUCGAUAAUCCACGAUAAUUUUCACUUAUUUUUAAAACUUAUAUAUCGCCAUCAAGAAUUUAUUACCAAAUAUAUUCUUAAUAAAAAAUAAAAAGUUAGGUCAAGGUGUAGUCAACAUAUAAGUAAAGAUGAGUUACAUUAAACAUUAUUUAAGGACUCUUAAAUCAAAAUUUUCGAAAAAAAAGGAUUUAUAAGUAUUAUAAUAAUAAUAAUUUUAUAUGAAUAAGAUAACAAAAGUGCACAUAUCGCCCGUCACCCUUAUCCUAAGAUAAGGUAAGUCGUAACAUAGUUGAUGUUUUGGAAAAAGCAUCAAG